This 5518-nucleotide long non-coding RNA is filed under the name Citrus maxima (pomelo). RNAcentral's name for it is "long non-coding RNA (CMAX_LNC000444)". Lineage: Eukaryota; Viridiplantae; Streptophyta; Magnoliopsida; Sapindales; Rutaceae. The record is from RNAcentral.
GAGAGAGAAAAAGAGGGAUCGGUUGAAAAAGAGAGAUGGAGAGACAAGAGAGAAAAGAAAAGAAAAAAGAGAAGAAGAAAGUCUUCUUCUUCUUCUUAGUUUUGCCAUAGACAACACAUUGGAUCAAGUUGUUAUUGUUGGGAGAAGUUUUGGAGGUACGUUUUAAUUAUUGGUUUCUAUUAACUUGUUGUGGAGAAGCAUGAUUGCAAUAGAAGUAGAAAUCAAAGAUUUUACAUAAAUAUGCUGACAGUGAAUCAUUACGAAAAUCAUAGUAAUUUGUACAAAUUGAUUUUGAUUCUGUUUUUUGGGUAUGUUAAACUAGACAUUGUCUAAUAUGUUUUGAAACUUGUUUCAAGUUAAUCGGAUAAGAUUUCGAUUAAUUAUGAUUUUUCAAAUUCAAGUCUGAAAACCUGGAAAUUUAUGAUUUCAGUGAAUUACGAAAUUAUUUCUACCAUAUCUAGACUCCUUCAAAAAUUAUGAAAUUUGGACCAAUGAUUUUUAUAUAUGUCUAGUAUGAUUCUGGAAAUUUUCAUGAUUUUAUGAUCAAGAAAUAAAUUGUUUUGUAUUUUUAAAGCAAGUGUGUUCAAAACAGAAAACUGUUUGACAGUAUUGAUGAUGUCUGAAACGUGAAUUAUUUUCAAUCUUUUUGGAAGGAAUUAUGUUAUGAAAUUUUUAUCAAUGAACUUUCAAUGUGUCAGCAUAUGGUCUGUAAAAUUUGAGAUUCUUCCAAUAAGAGAAUAAUUUAUUAAAAAUCGGAGAAAUAUGGACUGUUAUGUUUUGAGGGCCGAUUAUUGAGGACAUUUGAGGUUGAGCUUAAGAGUUAUUUAAAUUGAGAUAUUUGAGGACAUUAGAGUUUAUGAUUGAGAUUUGAUUAUAUCUUAUGAGAAUUUAUUGAUGAUUUUAGGUUGAUGGUAUCAGUACGCAUUUGUUACAUGAGGAUGCCAAGAGGUAAGUAAACUAGACUUUAAAACGAAUCACAAUAAAUAAUAUAUAUGUUUGACUUGUAUGAAAAGCCUAUUUUGAUAUGUACGAAUAUGGAUUUAUAUGUCUCUGCUCAUGUGUUUAUGUGAUGUGUUGUUAUGUAAUGGGCGUGAUUAUGUACAUGGGCAUAUAUAUGUGUGAUGGUUCAUUGGCAUGAGCACGAAAAUGCAUUGAGUUUUCUAUGAAUGAGAAAGUGGAUUUUAGCAAAUUGAAUUUAUGUUUUAUGAGAUUUUGCAUUGGGGGCCACCUCUUGAAGUUGUGUGGGGGCCACCUCUUGAGACUAUGCAGGGGCCACCUCUUGAGGGCUAGAGUCCCGCAAAGUGCCACGCAUGGUGCAAAGUGCCACGCACAACACAAAGUGCCACAUUGUAGGAUACGUAUUUCAUCGAAAGAAAAUGAGAAAGUUUGAAAGCGACAGAAAGAGAUUUUUAUGAAUUAAUUUUACAGUAUUUCUAAAAGAUCAUGGCAUAUCAUCCAUUGCAUUAUGUAUAAGUAUGUAUGUAUUUUCUAUAAGAAAAACUAGUUUGCUUACUGAGUUUUGUACUCAUUAUAGUUUAUUGUGAUUCAGUUUCCAGAAGUCAGGAUUGAUUCGUGAUGAGUGACAAGUUGAAGAUGGUAGAUGGUUUCGCUAAAUUUUUUAGUUAUUCCGCUGGCUUUUGUAUUUGAUGCUCGAAUUUUAUUGUUUGUAAAGAGUUAUUUAAAUCAUAUGUGAGUUGUGGACAUAUUUGCCCUUGGAUUUCGGACUGGGGUGUUAUAUUUCGAGGGGCCUCCGUGUGCCAAAAAUAGGCCGCGGGAAAUGCCGCGCCAAAAAUAUCCGCCCGAAGGCCCGCGCCAAGUUCGUCCAGCGGAAAAAGGCCACAAAAACGGGUGGGCUAUAGCCUUGGGGGGUGGGGCUGGCCAACUUCGUCCGCCGGAAUCGGAAUGCCGCGAGACUUUGCUAGGGGCUUCCAUUUGCCAAAAAUAGGCCGCAGACAAAGCCGCGCCCAAAAAUAACCGCCCGAAGGCCGGGGCGCGAAGCUCGUCCAGCGGAAAAAGGCCACAAAAACGGGUGGGCUAUAGCCUUGGGGGUGGGGCUGGCCAACUUCGUCCGCCGGACUCGGAAUGCCGCGAGACUUUGCGAGGGGCCUCCGUGUGCCAAAAAUAGGCCGCGGGCAAAGCCGCGCCCAAAAAUAACCACCCGAAGGCCGGGGCGCCAAGUUCGUCCACCGGAAAAAGGCCACAAAAACGGGUGGGCUAUAGCCUUGGGGGGUGGGGCUGGCCAACUUCGUCCGCCGGACUCGGAAUGCCGCGAGACUUUACGAGGGGCCUCCGUGUGCCAAAAAUAGGCCGCGGGCAAAGCUGCGCCCAAAAAUAACUGCCCGUAGGCUGGGGCGCCAAGUUCGUCCAGCGGAAAAAGGCCACAAAAACGGGUGGGCUAUAGCCUUGGGGGGUGGGGCUGGCCAACUUCGUCCGCUGGACUCGGAAUGCCGCGAGACUUUGCCAGGGGCCUCUGUGUGCCAAAAAUAGGCCGCGGACAAAGCCACGCCCAAAAAUAACCGGCCGAAGGCCGGGGCGCCAAGUUCGUCCAGCGGAAAAAGGUCACAAAAACGGGUGGGCUAUAACCUUGGGGGGUUGGGCUGGCCAACUUCGUCCGCCGAACUCGGAAUGCCGCGAGACUUUGCGAGGGGCCUCCGUGUACCAAAAAUAGGCCGCGGACAAAGCCGCGCCAAAAAUAACCGCCCGAAGGCCGGGGCGCCAAGUUCGUCCAUCGGAAAAAGGCCACAAAAACGGGUGGGCUAGCCUUGGGGGGUGGGGCUGGCCAACUUCGUCCGCCGGACUCGGAAUGCGGCAAGACUUCUUGAGGGGCCUCCAUGUGCCAAAAAUAGGCCACGCCCAAAAAUAACCGUCCGAAGGCCGGGGCGCCAAGUUCGUCCAGCGGAAAAAGGCCACAAAAACGGGUGGGCUAUAGCCAUGGGGGGUGGGGCUGGCCAACUUCGUCCGCCGGACUUGGAAAGCCGCGAGACUUUGCGAGGGGCCUCCGUGUGCCAAAAAUAGGCCGCGGGCAAAGCUGCGCCCAAAAAUAACCCCCGAUGGGCAGGGCGCCAAGUUCGUCCAGCAGAAAAAGGCCACAAAAACGGGUGGGCUAUAGCCUUGGGGGGUGGGGCUGGCCAACUUCGUCCGCCGGACUCGGAAUGCCGUGAGACUUUGCGAGGGGCCUCUGUGUGCAAAAAAUAAGCCGCGGACAAAGCCGCGCCCAAAAAUAACCGCCCGAAGGCCGGGGCGCCAAGUUCGUCCAGCGGAAAAAGGCCACAAAAACGGGUGGGCUACAGCCUUGGGGGGUGGGGCUGGCCAACUUCGUCCGCCGGACUCGGAAAGCGGCAAGACUUUGCGAGGGGCCUCCGUGUGCCAAAAAUAGGCCGCGCCCAAAAAUAACCGCCCGAAGGCCGGGGCGCCAAGUUCGUCCAGCGGAAAAAGGUCACAAAAACGGGUGGGCUAUAGCCUUGGGGGGUGGGGCUGGCCAACUUCGUCCGCCGGACUCGGAAUACUGCGAGACCUUGCGAGGGGCCUCCGCGGGCAAAGCCGCGCCCAAAAAUAACCGCCCGAAGGCCGGGGCGCCAAGUUCGUCCAGCGGAAAAAGGCCACAAAAACGGGUGGGCUAUAGCCUUGGGGGGUGGGGCUGGCCAACUUCGUCCGCCGGGCUCGGAAUGCCGCGAGACUUUUCGUGUAAUACCCCAAAUCUCCUAAGGGUAUUUAAGUCUUUUUAAUUUUUAGUGAUCCUUUUUACCCUAAUAUAAAUAGAACAAGAUGUAUUUUUCAUUAUAAGAGAGAGAAAAAGAGGGAUCGGUUGAAAAAGAGAGAUGGAGAGACAAGAGAGAAAAGAAAAGAAAAAAGAGAAGAAGAAAGUCUUCUUCUUCUUCUUAGUUUUGCCAUAGACAACACAUUGGAUCAAGUUGUUAUUGUUGGGAGAAGUUUUGGAGGUACGUUUUAAUUAUUGGUUUCUAUUAACUUGUUGUGGAGAAGCAUGAUUGCAAUAGAAGUAGAAAUCAAAGAUUUUACAUAAAUAUGCUGACAGUGAAUCAUUACGAAAAUCAUAGUAAUUUGUACAAAUUGAUUUUGAUUCUGUUUUUUGGGUAUGUUAAACUAGACAUUGUCUAAUAUGUUUUGAAACUUGUUUCAAGUUAAUCGGAUAAGAUUUCGAUUAAUUAUGAUUUUUCAAAUUCAAGUCUGAAAACCUGGAAAUUUAUGAUUUCAGUGAAUUACGAAAUUAUUUCUACCAUAUCUAGACUCCUUCAAAAAUUAUGAAAUUUGGACCAAUGAUUUUUAUAUAUGUCUAGUAUGAUUCUGGAAAUUUUCAUGAUUUUAUGAUCAAGAAAUAAAUUGUUUUGUAUUUUUAAAGCAAGUGUGUUCAAAACAGAAAACUGUUUGACAGUAUUGAUGAUGUCUGAAACGUGAAUUAUUUUCAAUCUUUUUGGAAGGAAUUAUGUUAUGAAAUUUUUAUCAAUGAACUUUCAAUGUGUCAGCAUAUGGUCUGUAAAAUUUGAGAUUCUUCCAAUAAGAGAAUAAUUUAUUAAAAAUCGGAGAAAUAUGGACUGUUAUGUUUUGAGGGCCGAUUAUUGAGGACAUUUGAGGUUGAGCUUAAGAGUUAUUUAAAUUGAGAUAUUUGAGGACAUUAGAGUUUAUGAUUGAGAUUUGAUUAUAUCUUAUGAGAAUUUAUUGAUGAUUUUAGGUUGAUGGUAUCAGUACGCAUUUGUUACAUGAGGAUGCCAAGAGGUAAGUAAACUAGACUUUAAAACGAAUCACAAUAAAUAAUAUAUAUGUUUGACUUGUAUGAAAAGCCUAUUUUGAUAUGUACGAAUAUGGAUUUAUAUGUCUCUGCUCAUGUGUUUAUGUGAUGUGUUGUUAUGUAAUGGGCGUGAUUAUGUACAUGGGCAUAUAUAUGUGUGAUGGUUCAUUGGCAUGAGCACGAAAAUGCAUUGAGUUUUCUAUGAAUGAGAAAGUGGAUUUUAGCAAAUUGAAUUUAUGUUUUAUGAGAUUUUGCAUUGGGGGCCACCUCUUGAAGUUGUGUGGGGGCCACCUCUUGAGACUAUGCAGGGGCCACCUCUUGAGGGCUAGAGUCCCGCAAAGUGCCACGCAUGGUGCAAAGUGCCACGCACAACACAAAGUGCCACAUUGUAGGAUACGUAUUUCAUCGAAAGAAAAUGAGAAAGUUUGAAAGCGACAGAAAGAGAUUUUUAUGAAUUAAUUUUACAGUAUUUCUAAAAGAUCAUGGCAUAUCAUCCAUUGCAUUAUGUAUAAGUAUGUAUGUAUUUUCUAUAAGAAAAACUAGUUUGCUUACUGAGUUUUGUACUCAUUAUAGUUUAUUGUGAUUCAGUUUCCAGAAGUCAGGAUUGAUUCGUGAUGAGUGACAAGUUGAAGAUGGUAGAUGGUUUCGCUAAAUUUUUUAGUUAUUCCGCUGGCUUUUGUAUUUGAUGCUCGAAUUUUAUUGUUUGUAAAGAGUUAUUUAAAUCAUAUGUGAGUUGUGGACAUAUUUGCCCUUGGAUUUCGGACUGGGGUGUUA